AACGAACGCUGGCGGCAGGCUUAACACAUGCAAGUCGAACGCCCCGCAAGGGGAGUGGCAGACGGGUGAGUAACACGUGGGAACCUUCCUAGAGGUACGGAACAACUAAGGGAAACUUGAGCUAAUACCGUAUACGCUCUUGCGGGGAAAGAUUUAUCGCCUUUAGACGGGCCCGCGUCGGAUUAGCUAGUUGGUGGGGUAACGGCCUACCAAGGCGACGAUCCGUAGCUGAUCUGAGAGGAUGAUACGCCACACUGGGACUGAGACACGGCCCAGACUCCUACGGGAGGCAGCAGUGGGGAAUCUUGGACAAUGGGGGCAAGCCUGAUCCAGCCAUGCCGCGUGAGUGAAGAAGGCCUUCGGGCUGUAAAGCUCUUUUACCAGGGACGAUAAUGACGGUACCUGGAGAAUAAGCCCCGGCAAACUUCGUGCCAGCCGCCGCAGUAA
RNAcentral lists this ribosomal RNA (447 nucleotides) under uncultured bacterium. RNAcentral describes it as "partial 16S ribosomal RNA". It matches the Rfam family "Bacterial small subunit ribosomal RNA", at positions 29 to 523 of the family's 1533-position model. The record is from RNAcentral.